Long non-coding RNA from Lepidothrix coronata (blue-crowned manakin), 347 nucleotides. RefSeq lists it as uncharacterized. The record is from RefSeq and is a predicted model, not a curated record. Lineage: Eukaryota; Metazoa; Chordata; Aves; Passeriformes; Pipridae. The transcript is spliced from 3 exons.
CAGGAGAUUAGGAAGAGCAGCUGGUUAGCCUGUGACCUCCUCAAGCUAUGCAUCUAGAAAGGCCCAGUGCUGCAAAGGUGUCCCAUAAUCAUUAAAUUAUGAAAAUGACUUACCAAAGUCACCAGGACACUUCCCUCUGAUACAAGUUUAACCUCUGCAAGCCAUGGGCCUGAAAACCCCAGCCCAGAGACCCAGCUGUGAAAUACUCUCAGUAACACAGAUGUCUGCCAGCAAAUUAUGGCUUGAGACAGCUCGGAGGCUUGUGCAGCAGGAGACGCUGCUCUUAAGAUGCCUUGCCAGCUACAGUACAUGUUUUGCAAUGGCUGUUCAACCACAAUGCAGAUGGG